GAUGAACGCUGGCGGCGUGCCUAAUACAUGCAAGUCGAGCGAACGGACGAGAAGUUUGCUUCUCUGAUGUUAGCGGCGGACGGGUGAGUGACACGUGGAUAACCUACCUAUAAGACUGGGAUAACUUCGGGAAACCGGAGCUAAUACCGGAUAAUAUUUUGAACCGCAUGGUUCAAAAGUGAAAGACGGUCUUGCUGUCACUUAUAGAUGGAUCCGCGCUGCAUUAGCUAGUUGGUAAGGUAACGGCUUACCAAGGCAACGAUGCAUAGCCGACCUGAGAGGGUGAUCGGCCACACUGGAACUGAGACACGGUCCAGACUCCUACGGGAGGCAGCAGUAGGGAAUCUUCCGCAAUGGGCGAAAGCCUGACGGAGCAACGCCGCGUGAGUGAUGAAGGUCUUCGGAUCGUAAAACUCUGUUAUUAGGGAAGAACAUAUGUGUAAGUAACUGUGCACAUCUUGACGGUACCUAAUCAGAAAGCCACGGCUAACUACGUG
Molecule: ribosomal RNA, 497 nt
Filed under: uncultured bacterium
Lineage: Bacteria
Description: partial 16S ribosomal RNA
Rfam family: Bacterial small subunit ribosomal RNA
Source: RNAcentral